GACCAGACUCCUACGGGAGGCAGCAGUGGGGAAUAUUGCACAAUGGGGGAAACCCUGAUGCAGCGACGCCGCGUGAGUGAAGAAGUAUUUCGGUAUGUAAAGCUCUAUCAGCAGGAAAGAAAAUGACGGUACCUGACUAAGAAGCCCCGGCUAACUACGUGCCAGCAGCCGCGGUAAUACGUAGGGGGCAAGCGUUAUCCGGAUUUACUGGGUGUAAAGGGAGCGUAGACGGUGAAGCAAGUCUGAAGUGAAAGGCGGGGGCUCAACCCCCGGACUGCUUUGGAAACUGUUUGACUGGAGUGCAGGAGAGGUAAGUGGAAUUCCUAGUGUAGCGGUGAAAUGCGUAGAUAUUAGGAGGAACACCGGCGGCGAAGGCGGCCUGCUGGACCGUGACUGACGUUGAGGCUCGAGAGCGUGGGGAGCAAACAGGAUUAGAUACCCGAGUA
This 446-nucleotide ribosomal RNA is filed under the name uncultured bacterium. RNAcentral describes it as "partial 16S ribosomal RNA". It matches the Rfam family "Bacterial small subunit ribosomal RNA", at positions 329 to 792 of the family's 1533-position model. The record is from RNAcentral.